Molecule: long non-coding RNA, 201 nt
Organism: Perognathus longimembris pacificus (Pacific pocket mouse)
Lineage: Eukaryota; Metazoa; Chordata; Mammalia; Rodentia; Heteromyidae
Exons: 3
Source: RefSeq, a predicted model, not a curated record
GCAGUUUGGGGGCUCCUAUUCUAUGAAGUUACACAAAGUAACUAGAGGGUAAGUGUACUUCUGUAGUUUUUUUUUUAAAUUAACAUUUGAGAUAUGCUUGCAAAUUUUAGGGUAGCCAAAGAAGUACAAAUCAUGUUAUUCAAAAAUUCUGAGUAGGGGCUGGGGAUAUGGCCUAGUGGCAAGAGCUCUUGCCUUGUAUAC